UACGAAGGGUGCAAGCGUUAAUCGGAUUUACUGGGCGUAAAGGGUGCGUAGGUGGUUAUUUAAGUUUGAUGUGAAAGCCCUGGGCUCAACCUAGGAACUGCAUUGAAAACUGGGUAACUUGAGUACUGUAGAGGGUAGUGGAAUUUCCGGUGUAGCGGUGAAAUGCGUAGAGAUCGGAAGGAACACCAGUGGCGAAGGCGGCUACCUGGACAGAUACUGACACUGAGGCACGAGAGCGUGGGGAGCAAACAGG
This 253-nucleotide ribosomal RNA is filed under the name uncultured bacterium. RNAcentral describes it as "partial 16S ribosomal RNA". It matches the Rfam family "Bacterial small subunit ribosomal RNA", at positions 524 to 776 of the family's 1533-position model. The record is from RNAcentral.